This is a long non-coding RNA of Triticum aestivum (bread wheat), 1627 nucleotides long. RefSeq lists it as uncharacterized. NCBI's taxonomy places the organism in Eukaryota, Viridiplantae, Streptophyta, Magnoliopsida, Poales, Poaceae. The record is from RefSeq and is a predicted model, not a curated record. The transcript has 3 exons.
CGCCGGUUCAUACUCCUCAAUGCGCCGCCGUUCUAUCCUCCUCGAUACGCCGUCGUUCUGCUGUCGACGAGCGUAUUUGUCCAUCGCGGCUGCGGCUGCGGCGGCCGUCGGCACCCUCUUCCCAAAGAUGCCGACACAGAUGGGCAACGGAGGGAUGUUUUUUCAUCCUCCUCUGCGUGACAGUGUUGUCGCGAUGGCAAGAUGAUACGGGCGAUGAUGGGAUGGGGGUGACAGUGCGGCUCUUCUGCGUUGAUAUCAAGUUGUCCGAUGUGCUUGAUUAAUUAGGUCCGUGGUACCUAAAGUAAUCACAACAUGUGGAUAAAUGACCAUCCAACACUAUUGAUCUGCUGCUUAGACGUCAUGUCGUAUUCAGGAUUUGGAGCUACAACAUAUACACUAUUGGUUGAAAAUGGGUGACCAGAACACAAGCGGAUGGAGUGUAAGUUAUGAUUCAAGUGGAUGGAGAGAAAGUUAUGAUUCAGUUAUACCAUGAUUCAUUUGUAUCAUUGGUAUCCCCACCAUCGCUAGCUUCCGUCCUCAUCCCCAUUGUUCUGUACCAAGGAGAUCCUGCCUCCCGCUGCUCCUCUCCACUUCGUUGGGACUGUUCCAUAUGCCUCCACGACACCAGCUGCGAACCAGGUCCGCCGCGCGGCUAUGAGAACCUCCUCGACACGCGUCUGCUCCAGUUUUUGGCAUGACGGCCAGUUCGUCAGCCUGACUCUGCUCAUCGUCUCGCUCGUUCGUUGGCUUCCGAUCUGGAUGGUGUAUGCUGGCUCCCAAAAGCUCAUCAGUUUGUACCGGCUCCUUGUUUUUGGUCUGUUUGCUUUUCCCGAAUGUUAUUCGAUCUGACAAGAAAAAUAUAUACUUUUCUGCAGUGCAUAUGCUACCUCAGUUCAUUUGAUCUCCAUAUUCUUGACACCACGAACUGGAUUUACUUACCAUAGAAUACUUAACAUGGAAGAAGUAACACAAAUCUCCAAGCACAAUUUUGAGAAAACCAAUGUCAGGUAUUUCCCUACCGUAAGGUAUGAAGUAUGAAACCUCCCGGUUUUUUCUGAUAAUGAAUAAUUUUUAUUUCCUCUGUUUCAAGUGUUUGUUUCUAUUUCCUUGGCAAGAUAAGAAGCUAUGGUGCCUAUAUUCACUGAUAGGCUUGGCAACCUUUGUAUUGAAUGUAUGUGCCUCAGUUUCUUUCUACUUCUAUGAUGUUUAUCUUAUCUUUCCUUCUUUACAAUUUGAUUGGGGCCUUUUAUAGCUGCCACGGGGAUGAUCAGAGGUAGCAUUGUAGCGACAUAGAGCAUAGGUGGUUUAUAUCCUUAAGACAUCAAAGAGUUAGUUCAUCUUAGUAUUCACCAUGUGCUGGCAUUUGCAUUUCACUAUUGUUCAUUUUUCCACAGUGAAAAAGGAUUAGUGUCAUGUGGUCAUAUGAUGAUGUAGGCAAGCUCCAGCGAGAUCUCCAUGCAUCAUUUUACUGAUUUAGAAGGAGGCAAUCCCUUUAUAUGCCGACACGCUAGAUUGUUGGUACAAAAAUAAUCUUUUUUUAGAAAUGAGAUUCUUUUUAGGGAACAUAAACAUUAGGAUUGAUUUAUAGUCUGUAUAUUACAUUGUGCAGGAUAAAUUAUAUCUCCCU